RNAcentral lists this ribosomal RNA (246 nucleotides) under uncultured Lactobacillus sp. RNAcentral describes it as "partial 16S ribosomal RNA". It matches the Rfam family "Bacterial small subunit ribosomal RNA", at positions 116 to 354 of the family's 1533-position model. Lineage: Bacteria; Bacillati; Bacillota; Bacilli; Lactobacillales; Lactobacillaceae. The record is from RNAcentral.
CGUGGGUAACCCGCCCAAGAGAUCGGGAUAACACCUGGAAACAGAUGCUAAUACCGGAUAACAACAGAUGAUGCCUAUCAACUGUUUAAAAGAUGGUUCUGCUAUCACUCUUGGAUGGACCUGCGGUGCAUUAGCUAGUUGGUAGGGUAACGGCCUACCAAGGCGAUGAUGCAUAGCCGAGUUGAGAGACUGAUCGGCCACAUUGGGACUGAGACACGGCCCAAACUCCUACGGGAGGCAGCAGGC